UGGUUGGAUGCUGCUGAAGUGCUGGUUCUGAAAGCAGUGCAUACUCCUGUGCUUCUCUUGGCAGCAUGAUUGCUCUGAUUUUGCAAACUAGCUAAGUCAUUAACACUGAUCCUGCUUUUCUGAUUGCUGUUUAAUGCUUAUCUUCAAGGAAACUAUGGCAAAGCUGGAGAGGUUGUGACCAAAGUAAGUAAAAAAGGAGAGAAGGGAGAAGGGAGAGAAGAAAAACAGCCUUUGCUGGAUGCUGGUUCGGAUAGUGAGCUGGAUGUGGAGGUCCUGGCCCCAGAUUCAGCCCCACUGAACAAGUCGAUGACAAGGAGCCAGAGACCAGAGCCCACAGAAUACGACAGCAUGGGAUGAGAGUGACUGCAUCCUGCUGAUUUGUAGUGAAAACCAGGGAGGAUCACAAAUUUCUUGGGGAGACCCACAGAGCUGUACUGCAGAGCUGAGUUUCAGAAGCAUGUGCCCAGUGUUUGGCCCCAUCACUUGCUUUGGGCUCUUCAAAGUGCUGUGCAGCUACCA
This 519-nucleotide long non-coding RNA is filed under the name Numida meleagris (helmeted guineafowl). RNAcentral describes it as "lncRNA (ENSNMEG00000007738.1)". The record is from RNAcentral. Lineage: Eukaryota; Metazoa; Chordata; Aves; Galliformes; Numididae.